UACGGAGGGUGCAAGCGUUGUCCGGAUUUAUUGGGUUUAAAGGGUGCGUAGGUGGCCCGUUAAGUCCGGGGUGAAAGCCCACUGCUCAACAGUGGAACUGCCCUGGAUACUGGCGGGCUUGAGUCCAGACGAGGUUGGCGGAAUGGAUGGUGUAGCGGUGAAAUGCAUAGAUACCAUCCAGAACCCCGAUUGCGUAGGCAGCUGACUAGGCUACAUCUGACACUGAGGCACGAAAGCGUGGGGAGCGAACAGG
This 253-nucleotide ribosomal RNA is filed under the name uncultured bacterium. RNAcentral describes it as "partial 16S ribosomal RNA". It matches the Rfam family "Bacterial small subunit ribosomal RNA", at positions 524 to 776 of the family's 1533-position model. The record is from RNAcentral.